AGAGGCUGAACCUGGGCGUCUCCGCCAUGGCCUGGACCCCUCUCCUGCUCCCCCUGCUCACUCUCUGCACAGGCUCUGUGGCCUCCUAUGAGCUGACCCAGUCGGGCCCUUUGUCAGUGGCCCCGGGAGGGACGGCCAGCAUGACCUGCUCUGGAGAUUUACUGGAUAAAAAAUAUACUCACUGGUACCAACAGAAGCCCAGCCAGGCCCCUGUGCUGGUCAUUUACGAGGAUAACAAGCGGCCCUCAGGGAUCCCGGACCGGUUCUCAGGCUCCAGCUCAGGGAAGACAAACACCCUGACCAUCAGCUGGGUCCUGGCUGAGGACAAGCCUGAAUAUUUCUGUCAGUCAUGGGACAGCAGUGGUAAUGCUCACAGUGACACAGGCAGAUGGGGAAGUGGGACAUAA
Myotis brandtii (Brandt's bat) is the source of this 407-nucleotide non-coding RNA. NCBI's taxonomy places the organism in Eukaryota, Metazoa, Chordata, Mammalia, Chiroptera, Vespertilionidae. The record is from the annotation of a RefSeq genome assembly.